Molecule: ribosomal RNA, 363 nt
Filed under: uncultured bacterium
Lineage: Bacteria
Description: partial 16S ribosomal RNA
Rfam family: Bacterial small subunit ribosomal RNA
Source: RNAcentral
CCUACGGGUGGCAGCAGUGAGGAAUAUUGGUCAAUGGGCGGGAGCCUGACCCAGCCAAGUCGCGUGAGGGAUGACGGCCCUAUGGGUUGUAAACCUCUUUUUCCGGGGAGCAAAAUGCCGCACGUGAGCGGUUUGGAGAGUACCCGGAGAAAAAGCAUCGGCUAACUCCGUGCCAGCAGCCGCGGUAAUACGGAGGAUGCGAGUGUUAUCCGGAUUUGUUGGGUUUAAAGGGUGCGUAGGAGGACGCUUAAGUCAGCGGUAAAAUUGCGGGGCUCAACCUCGUCGAGCCGUUGAGACUGGGUGCCUUGAGUGGGCGAGAGGUAAGCGGAAUGCGUGGUGUAGCGGUGAAAUGCAUAGAUAUCA